GUGCUAGUAGCUUAGUUGGCUUAAAGCGUCAGAUUGUGGCUCUGAAGAGCGUGGGUUCAAUUCCCACCUAGCACC
Molecule: transfer RNA, 75 nt
Filed under: Agathobacter rectalis
Lineage: Bacteria; Bacillati; Bacillota; Clostridia; Lachnospirales; Lachnospiraceae
Also listed under: 1 other name
Description: tRNA-His
Rfam family: tRNA
About the family: Transfer RNA (tRNA) molecules are approximately 80 nucleotides in length. Their secondary structure includes four short double-helical elements and three loops (D, anti-codon, and T loops). Further hydrogen bonds mediate the characteristic L-shaped molecular structure. tRNAs have two regions of fundamental functional importance: the anti-codon, which is responsible for specific mRNA codon recognition, and the 3' end, to which the tRNAs corresponding amino acid is attached (by aminoacyl-tRNA synthetases). tRNAs cope with the degeneracy of the genetic code in two manners: having more than one tRNA (with a specific anti-codon) for a particular amino acid; and 'wobble' base-pairing, i.e. permitting non-standard base-pairing at the 3rd anti-codon position.
Source: RNAcentral